GAGGGUAUAGCUCAGUGGUAGAACGCGUGCUUUAGAAUGCACAAGGUCCUGGGUUCAAUACCCAGUACCUCCA
RNAcentral lists this transfer RNA (73 nucleotides) under Camelus bactrianus (Bactrian camel). It matches the Rfam family "tRNA". Rfam says of the family: Transfer RNA (tRNA) molecules are approximately 80 nucleotides in length. Their secondary structure includes four short double-helical elements and three loops (D, anti-codon, and T loops). Further hydrogen bonds mediate the characteristic L-shaped molecular structure. tRNAs have two regions of fundamental functional importance: the anti-codon, which is responsible for specific mRNA codon recognition, and the 3' end, to which the tRNAs corresponding amino acid is attached (by aminoacyl-tRNA synthetases). tRNAs cope with the degeneracy of the genetic code in two manners: having more than one tRNA (with a specific anti-codon) for a particular amino acid; and 'wobble' base-pairing, i.e. permitting non-standard base-pairing at the 3rd anti-codon position. Lineage: Eukaryota; Metazoa; Chordata; Mammalia; Artiodactyla; Camelidae. RNAcentral also lists the same sequence under 1 other name. The record is from Rfam by way of RNAcentral.